AACCAAGACAUUCUCCCUUGUUUCUACAGUGAUACAUAGUAUUGAAAAUUGCUUUGACUGCACACUCAAAUUAUUACAAUUCAACUUUCUUCAACAUCAUAAAUUGAAAGGAUAUCAUGUGGAUCUUUGUUGUUCCCAAUUAGGAUUGAAAAUAACUUCUGGCCAAAUUAGUAGUGUAGAGACUUAUGGAAUGAAGUCAAUUUAAAACAGAAUUUUUUUGAGUUAAUGGUUCUCAAUGGCCCACUUCCUGACCACCACCCUCUGGAGUCCAAAGGAGAUUUGCUUAUUCCCAGUAUUAUUCCUGCAGGUCAGCCAAAGAGGAGCAAAGAGUCAUCUACCUCAAUCAUGUUCAGGAAAUGAUCAGGUCAAGAUGUGGAGUGAGCAAGCUUUUCUCUUUUGUGCCACAUUUUCUGACCCAGUAUUUCAAGCUACCCAAGGUGCGAAAAAGAAAGAAGGCCGAAGGGAAGAAGGUGGUGCUCACCCUUGCUGUCUUGAAAAAGCAGGAGACCAUGAAAGUGGUGAAUCUUCCAUUUGAGAAAUUUGGCACUGGACAGGACAUUUUGGCAUUGGACAGAACAUCCAGCCCAAAAGGGACCUCACUUACUUUGUCAAAUGGCCCCAUUAUACUAGGUUGCAGCAGCAGAGAGCCAUCCUCUAUAAACAGCUAGAAGUGCCUUCUGUGAUUAAUCAGUUCACCAGGGCCUUGGACCACCAAACAGCUGCUCAAUGGGUGGUUUUCUUUAAGGAGAGAUUUCACUCUGCAAGGAGCCAAUUGGCAGUGUUUGGAGAUGUUUUCUGUUGUCACAACUUGUGAAUGGAGUUACUACUAGCAUCGAAUUGGAGAGGCCAGGGAUGUUGCUAAACAUCCUGCAACAUACAAGGAAACAAGGUCAUCAGCUGGCAUUGAGAUUGAAGAAAAGUAUGUGAGGGGUGUGAAAUGAGGAAAGAAUCCAUAAGUUAAUCUUACAUAAGAGGAAGAAGGCAAUGGCUAACAAAAGAAAAAUGGGCUUGUUUGGCCGCAUUAAAGGCACAUUUGCUUUUCAAGGUUGUGGUUUUAAAGAGAUAACAAUCAGCACAAUUUGGUUAUGUGUUUUUCUCCCACUGCAGUUUGGGUAUAAAAGCAAUUCCAAAAUUGAUGGAGACAUGCAUGAAACUAAGGCUAUAGUUUUGCUAAGUCAGUCAUGUUUAGUAGAUAGAAAUUUAUUUGAUGACCAAGGAUGGCACAAAAUGUUUAAAAGACUGAAUAUGUGACAUAAUA
RNAcentral lists this long non-coding RNA (1258 nucleotides) under Homo sapiens (human). RNAcentral's name for it is "HSALNT0402819". Lineage: Eukaryota; Metazoa; Chordata; Mammalia; Primates; Hominidae. The record is from RNAcentral.